GUAGGUGGCAAGCGUUGUCCGGAAUUAUUGGGCGUAAAGCGCGCGCAGGCGGUUCUUUAAGUCUGAUGUGAAAGCCCACGGCUCAACCGUGGAGGGUCAUUGGAAACUGGAGAACUUGAGUACAGAAGAGGAAAGCGGAAUUCCACGUGUAGCGGUGAAAUGCGUAGAGAUGUGGAGGAACACCAGUGGCGAAGGUGGCUUUCUGGUCUGUAACUGACGCUGAGGCGCGAAAGCGUGGGGAGCAAACAGGAUUAGAUACCCUGGUAGUCCACGCCGUAAACGAUGAGUGCUAAGUGUUAGGGGGGUUUCCGCCCCCCUUAGUGCUGCAGCUAACGCAUUAAGCACUCCGCCUGGGAGUACGGCCGCAAGGCUG
RNAcentral lists this ribosomal RNA (373 nucleotides) under uncultured organism. RNAcentral's name for it is "partial 16S ribosomal RNA". It matches the Rfam family "Bacterial small subunit ribosomal RNA", at positions 527 to 896 of the family's 1533-position model. The record is from RNAcentral.